RNAcentral lists this ribosomal RNA (253 nucleotides) under uncultured bacterium. RNAcentral's name for it is "partial 16S ribosomal RNA". It matches the Rfam family "Bacterial small subunit ribosomal RNA", at positions 524 to 776 of the family's 1533-position model. The record is from RNAcentral.
GACAGAGGCCCCAAGCGUUAGGCGGAAUCACUGGGCUUAAAGCGUGUGUAGGCGGCUUUGCAAGUCGGGUGUGAAAGCCCUCAGCUCAACUGAGGAAGUGCGCCCGAAACUGCAGAGCUUGAGUACCGGAGAGGAUGGCGGAAUUCCCCAAGUAGAGGUGAAAUUCGUAGAUAUGGGGAGGAACACCGGUGGCGAAGGCGGCCAUCUGGACGGAUACUGACGCUGAGACGCGAAAGCGUGGGUAGCAAACAGG